GAGUUUGAUUCUGGCUCAGGAUGAACGCUAGCGAUAGGCUUAACACAUGCAAGUCGAGGGGCAGCAUAGAAUCAGCUUGCUGAUUUAGAUGGCGACCGGCGGAUGGGUGCGUAACGCGUAUGCAACUUACCUGUCAGAGGGGGAUAACCCGGAGAAAUUCGGACUAAUACCGCAUAUACUUGAGAUACUGCAUGGUGUUUCAAGGAAAUAUUUAUAGCUGACAGAUAGGCAUGCGUUCCAUUAGCUGGUAGGUGAGGUAACGGCUCACCUAGGCUACGAUGGAUAGGGGAACUGAGAGGUUAAACCCCCACACUGGUACUGAGACACGGACCAGACUCCUACGGGAGGCAGCAGUGAGGAAUAUUGGUCAAUGGGCGAGAGCCUGAACCAGCCAAUUCGCGUGAAGGAUGACUGCCCUAUGGGUUGUAAACUUCUUUAGUAGGGGAUUAAAGUUUGCCUUGCGAGGCAAUUUGCAA
This 476-nucleotide ribosomal RNA is filed under the name Porphyromonas canoris. RNAcentral's name for it is "bacterial SSU rRNA". It matches the Rfam family "Bacterial small subunit ribosomal RNA", at positions 9 to 474 of the family's 1533-position model. Lineage: Bacteria; Pseudomonadati; Bacteroidota; Bacteroidia; Bacteroidales; Porphyromonadaceae. The record is from RNAcentral.